AUACGGAGGUUGCAAGCGUUAUCCGGAUUCAUUGGGUUUAAAGGGUGCGCAGGCGGACUUGUAAGUCAGUGGUGAAAUCCCGGGGCUCAACCUCGGAACUACCAUUGAUACUGCAAGUCUUGAGUUUGGUUGAAGUGGGCGGAAUGUAGCAUGUAGCGGUGAAAUGCAUAGAUAUGCUACAGAACACCGAUCGCGAAGGCAGCUCACUAAACCAACACUGACGCUCAGGCACGAAAGCGUGGGGAGCGAACAGGAUUAGAUACCCUAGUAGUCC
This 274-nucleotide ribosomal RNA is filed under the name uncultured bacterium. Its description in RNAcentral is "partial 16S ribosomal RNA". It matches the Rfam family "Bacterial small subunit ribosomal RNA", at positions 523 to 796 of the family's 1533-position model. The record is from RNAcentral.